Molecule: ribosomal RNA, 497 nt
Filed under: uncultured bacterium
Lineage: Bacteria
Description: partial 16S ribosomal RNA
Rfam family: Bacterial small subunit ribosomal RNA
Source: RNAcentral
GAUGAACGCUGGCGGCGUGCCUAAUACAUGCAAGUCGAGCGAACAGAUGAGGAGCUUGCUCCUCUGACGUUAGCGGCGGACGGGUGAGUAACACGUGGAUAACCUACCUAUAAGACUGGGAUAACUUCGGGAAGCCGGAGCUAAUACCGGAUAAUAUAUUGAACCGCAUGGUUCAAUAGUGAAAGACGGUUUUGCUGUCACUUAUAGAUGGAUCCGCGCCGCAUUAGCUAGUUGGUAAGGUAACGGCUUACCAAGGCAACGAUGCGUAGCCGACCUGAGAGGGUGACCGGCCACACUGGAACUGAGACACGGUCCAGACUCCUACGGGAGGCAGCAGUAGGGAAUCUUCCGCAAUGGGCGAAAGCCUGACGGAGCAACGCCGCGUGAGUGAUGAAGGUCUUCGGAUCGUAAAACUCUGUUAUUAGGGAAGAACAAAUGUGUAAGUAACUAUGCACGUCUUGACGGUACCUAAUCAGAAAGCCACGGCUAACUACGUG